UACGUAGGGUGCGAGCGUUGUCCGGAAUUACUGGGCGUAAAGAGCUCGUAGGUGGUUUGUCGCGUUGUCCGUGAAAACUCACAACUCAAUUGUGGGCGUGCGGGCGAUACGGGCAGACUGGAGUACUGCAGGGGAGACUGGAAUUCCUGGUGUAGCGGUGAAAUGCGCAGAUAUCAGGAGGAACACCGGUGGCGAAGGCGGGUCUCUGGGCCGAUACUGACGCUGAGACGCGAAAGCGUGGGGAGCAAACAGG
This 253-nucleotide ribosomal RNA is filed under the name uncultured bacterium. RNAcentral describes it as "partial 16S ribosomal RNA". It matches the Rfam family "Bacterial small subunit ribosomal RNA", at positions 524 to 776 of the family's 1533-position model. The record is from RNAcentral.